GUCGCAAUGGUGUAGUCGGUUAUCACAUCUGUCUCACACACAGGAGGUCCCCAGUUCGAACCUGGGUUGCGACA
Molecule: non-coding RNA, 74 nt
Organism: Martensiomyces pterosporus
Lineage: Eukaryota; Fungi; Kickxellomycota; Kickxellomycetes; Kickxellales; Kickxellaceae
Source: the annotation of a GenBank genome assembly